UGAGACCUGAGGGCUAAGAGGGAGCCCGGCUUGCAGAGUUCUUGGGGAAGGGUGUCUCAGGUAGAGGGACGAGCAAGCACAAAGGCCUCAAGACGGGAACAAGUUAGGUGUGUUUGAGGAACUGAGAAAAGGAAGUGAGACUGCGAAGGCAGAGAGGGAGGGGAGAGCAAGGUUCGGAAGGGGAGAGGGUUUCUAGGCAGCCCCAGGAGACUCAGGAGUGGAGGGAGGGAUGUGGGGCGUGGUCUCCAAGGCAGGGUUCACUGCCAACCUCUCCUCCUGGGUCCUGAGGAGUCCAAACACCUCUUCCCCUUCUCCACGCAGGCAGUCUGCACUGUCCACUUCCCCUGCAAGAGCUACAGUCCAACCCCAGCUCCCCCAUUACCGCAGGGCUCAUGGGUCCCUUCUGAGCAGGAAGACAGGGCUCUUGCAUGCAGUCCUGCCUCAGACAUUCAUUCGUUAAUUCCUCUGUCCACUCGCCCAUCAGAUGUGGAUUUGCCACAGGUCUUUUGCUUUUGCAGGUCCCUCUGCCCGAAACAUAGUCUUUUAUCCUGCAAGGCUCUGCUUCCAAUGGCGCUUCUUCCAAGAUGCCUUCCCUGACCACCCCCAGCUAAUUUAGCCCCCUUAUCACCCUGUGAGCAACUGUACUGCUCUUCAUGAUAAAACAGGAUCGGUUGGUGCUCCCAGGCGCCCUCUCUAUAUAUGUAAGAGAUAGAUCUACCCUUCUCAUUUUUCUUUUAGGAACCAUCCUUCCCUUCUCUUUGCGUGAUUUGUUUGUGUCAACCCCGUUCCCGAAAUAAGCAUAUCAUCCAGGUAAAGGCAAUGAGAGACAGCUGCAGGACUUUUGCUGGAGCUCCCGGAAAGCUAAGUUUUGCUCCACUCUGCUUGCUUACCUGGUGGGCUGCAAGGUUGGAGCUGCUGGGGGAGGAGAGGACCUGCUGAAAAUGAAAUCAAUAUUGAGGGAAGAAAAGGUGAAAGAAGGAGAGAUGCACAGUCCUGAGUGGAUUGUUUGAGCACCUGGAUUCAGCCGUACCUGCAAUCCAAACUCCCCCCCAGACUUUUCCAUUAUAAGAACCAAUAUGUUCCCUUUGUGCUUAAGCUAGUUUGGGUUUCAGUAGCAAUAGACAGUCUAACUGAUAAUAAAGUCUUGAAGAUAUGCAGGCAGUCAAGCUUAGGUACUUUCCCCUUGACGGAUGUGGGCUGGGGCUUCCCUCAUUCAGAAGCCACGCCCCCUCUAGAGUUUCCUUUUCUACAAGGCCUGAGUGUUUGGGAUUCGCUCAACCUGAGGCAAAAAAGCAGAAUCCAAGUGUGAGGCCAGAGAGGGGGUCACUACAAAAGCAGCCACACAACCAGCAGCAGGAACUGGGAAUCUGCAUUGUUAAUAAGCAAAUCCAUUUGCCUUCCCUCUUCUGGGUGGGCUGAGCCCUGAUUUUAUUAGCUUGUUUUUCUUAGCUCUGUCCAUGUGUUCAGGGAAAGUAUGUAAGCCAGUCAUGGUUCUCUCGUCUCCUGGUCAGUGACUGGUUCUGGAAGAAGCUGUGACUAACCACUUCCCAGCAGACUUAUUCUCACAUGUGGGGAUUCCUGGGGUAGAAUGGUUUUGCUCCUAAAAAGUAACGCAAGGGAAAGAAACUUCCCUUUUCUGCCUCCCACAGAAAGUACAGCCCUGUGAGGAGGCACUAUUUGACAUUGGAUUUGACUUUCUGGAACUCUUCAUCUGAAGUAGAAUCAUGGUAGACUCUGUGUCUAGUUUUCCCCUCCAUCCGUGUGGGAGGAAAAAAGGGGGUGCCAUUCACACUCGACUGGUUUAACAAAGAAAAAACUCACAAACAUUUAGCCUUGUCAGAAUUUACAUGUAGAUUCUAAGUAUUAUUCCCAGGGCAAUAAAUUAUUAAGUAAGACAAAUCAGAAUUACAGAUUUUGGAAGGUCAGAGCUUCCUUUCACAAGAUGUACCCAUCUGUGAAGUCCCUCUGGCCUACAGAGAGUAUUUGCAAGAGGAGUUUUAUGAUGCUGAGGAGUGUCUGAUUUUCUGCAGCUGCGAAGAAAGAUCAUUUUUCUACUUAUCUUUCUGCAAUUUCUUCGACCAGCACUUAGAAGAGCCCUGUAAGUACCAAGAGCGAAACCAGAGAGGCCAAACACUUAAAAUAGGGGAGGGAAAUGGGCAGAGUAGGAUUUUAGCAAAAGGAACUUAAGGUUGUAAUGUUUCGCAUCUGUAGGAAAUGAUGGCUAGAACUGUAGCAGCCAUAUUGCCACCUUGAGGGAUGACGCUGCCCACGUGCCAAGGAAUCUUAGUCCAUGAGAACACCAUUCAACUGAAGCAAUGACCACUGUAGAACCUCCCUAUCUUGGAAUAAGAAGUACCACUGUGCCCCAGAAGAGUUGCAGGGCAAAAAGAUGUCAUUGUCUGAGAGGAGGGCUUUUUGGCAUUGCUUCUCGUUGGGACAGCUGAAGGAAGCGUGGGACCCCAGCAAGGGGACGGCGAGGCUGAGCAACAGCCACAGGGUGUCCUCCACUCUGCUGGGAUAGGAAGAAACUUAAUUUGUCUCUUCACGGUUUUCUCUACCAUCCCCGGCUUUGGCAUUCAAAUGUCACAUGUCUUGGCACACCCUCAACAACCGGGACCUAUUGAGAAUAAGUCAGGCUGCUUGGACAAUCACAAAGGUAUAAGAGAAAACCAAGAACUAGGACAAGGUUGAAUGAUAAAGGUUCAUCUCCUACACAAGGUCAUUCCUUCAAGACUGGGAGAGGUAACUGUUUCACCUAAUACAUAGGAACAAACAUAGAUAGUUGAGCAAGAUGAGGAAACAGAAGAGUUUGUUCCAAAUGAAGGAACAAGAUAAAACUUCAGAAAAAAAAAUAGAGAUAAUUAAUUUACCUGAUAGAGUAAGAGUUCAAAGUAAUGGUCAUAAAGACACUCAGGAGAAGAAUGGAUGAACACAGUGAGAACUUCAACCAAAAAAAAUUAAUUAAUAAAAUCUAAGAAAGUACCAAACAGAAGCCAGAGAAGUGUAAACAAUAACUGAGCUGAAAAUACACUACAGGGGCAGAAAGGUUCAACAGCAGACUAGAUAAAACAGAAGAAAAGAUCAGUGAUCUGGAAGACAGGGCAGUGGAACUCACACACAGAGCAGCAAAAAGGAAAAACAAAAGAAUUUCAAAAAGUAAAGAUAGCUUAAGGGACCUAUAGGACAAUAUAAAACAGAAUAACAUUCACAUUAUAGGAGUCUCAGACGGAGAAGAGAGAAAGAGAAGGGAGAACACUUAUUUGAAGAAAUAAUGGCUGAAAACUUCCCUAAACAUACAUCCAGAUCCAGGAAUCCCAGAGAGUUCCAAAAAAAAAAAAAAAAAAAGAUGAACCCAAAGAGAUCCACACCAAGCACAUUUAUAACUACAAUGUCAAAAGUUAAGAAUAAAGAGAGAAUCUUAAAAGCAGUGAGAGAAAAACAACUUGUUUCAUACAAGGGGACCCCCCCCAUAAGACUAUCAGCAGAUUUUUCAGCAGAAAUGUUGCAGGACAGAAGGGAGUGGAAAAAUAUAUUCAAAAUGCUGAAAUGAAAAAACUUCCAACCAAGAAUACUCUACCUAGAAAGGUUAUCAUUUAGAACUGAAGAGAGAAACAAGUUUUCCAGACAAGCAGAAGUUAAAGAAGUUCAUUGCCACUAAACCAGCCUUAUGAGAAAUGUUAAAAGAACUUCCUUAUGCUGAAAAGAAAGGGCACUAAUUAGUAACAAGAAGUGAAUGAAAGUAAAAAUCUCACUGGUAAAGAUAAAUAUAUAGUAAAGGUAGUGGAUUAAUCACAAAACUAGUAUGAAGGUUAAAAGGCAAAAUUAGCAAAAAUAACUAUACUCAUAAUAAUUAGUUAAGGGAUACACAAAAAUAAAAAGAUGUAGAAUGUGAUGUCAGAAACAUAAAAUGGAAGUAAAAAUGCAGAGUUUUAGAAUGUGUUCAACUGGGGCCCCUAGGUGGCUCAGUCAGUUAAGCAUCUGCCUUCUGCUCAGGUCAUGAUCCCAGCAUCCUGGGAUCGAAUCCUGCAUUGGGCUCCCUGCUCAGCAGGGAGUCUGCUUCUCCCUCUCUCUCCAUGUUCUCUCUCUCUCAAAUAAAUAAAUAAAUCGGAAAAAAAAAAAAAAAAAGAAUGUGUUCAACUUAUCUUGCUGUCACCUUAAAAUAGACUAUUACAUAUAUAAGCCAUUAUAUGUGAAGUUCAUGGUAACCACAAAGCAAAAACCAUAUACUAGAUACACAAAAGAUGAGAAAGGAAUCUAACCAUAACACUAAAGAAAGUAAUCAAACCACAAGGGAAGAGAGCAAGAGAAGAAUAAAGAAACAGAGAGGAACUACAAAACAGCCAGAAAACAAUUAACAAAAUGGGAAUAAAUAUAUACCUAUCAAUAAUUACUUUAAAUCAUUAAGUGGACUAAAUUCUCCAGUCACAAGACAUAAGGGUGCCUGAGUGGCUCAGUCAGUGAAGCAUCCGACUCUUGAUUUCAGCUCAGGUCAUGAUCUCAGGGUUGUGAGAUCAAACCCUGUGUUGGGCUCUGCACUGGGAGUGGAGCCUGCUUAAGAUUCUCUCUCCCUCACCUUCUGCCCUCCCCUGCUCUCUCUCUCUAUGUCUCUAAAAAAGAAAAAAAGACAUAGAGUGGCUGCAUGGAUUUAAAAAAAGAAAAAAACCCAGACCCAUUUAUAUGCUGCCUAUAAGAGACUCACUUCAGAUGUAAAGUUACACACAAACUGAAAGUGAGGGAAUAAAAAAAGAUGUUUCAUGCAAAUGAAAAUAAACAAACAAAGGGCUGGUAGCUUACUUAUAUCAGACAAAAUAAAUUUUAUUUAUUUAUUUAUUUAUUUUUAAAGAUUUAUUUAUUUAUUUAUUUGACAGAGAGAGAGAGACAGCAAGAGAGGGAACACAAGCAGGGGGAGUGGGGGAGGGAGAAGCAGACUCCCCACGGAGCAGGGAGCCCGAUGCGGGGCUCGAUCCCAGGACCCUGGGAUCAUGACCUGAGCCGAAGGCAGACGCUUAUCGACUGAGCCACCCAGGCGCCUAACAAAAUAGAUUUUAAAAUAAAGACUGGGACACCUGGGUGGCUCAUGAUCCCAAGGUCCUAGGAUAGAGCACUGUGCUGGGCUCCCUGCUCAGUGGGAAGUCUGCUUCUCCCUCUCCCUCUCCCCACCCCCAUGUUUGUGCUUUCUCUCUCUCAAAUAAAUAAAAUAUUUUUUUAAAAAGACUGCAAUAAAAGAGAAAGAUGGGCAUUACAUAAUGAUAAAGAGUUCAAUACAACAAGAUAUAACAUCUGUAAAUAUUAAUGCCCUCAAUAUAGGAGCAUCUAAAUAUGUAAAGCAAAUAUUAACAGGGAGAAACUGACAGUAAAACAAUAGUAGGGGACUUUAAUAUGCUACUUACAUCAAUGGAUUGAUCAUCCAGACAGAAAAUCAAUAAGGAAACAUCAGCAUUAAAUGACACAUUAGACAAUAUGGACUUAAUCGAUACAUAACAGAACAUUCCAUCCAAAGCAGUAGAAUACACAUUCUUCUUAAGUGCACACAGAACAUUCCCUAGGAUAGAUUAAAUGUUAGGCCACAAAACAAGUCUCAAUAAAUUAAAGAGGACUGAAAUCAUAUCAGGCAACUUUUCCAACUACAAUAGUAUGAAACUAGAAAUCGAUUACAAGAAGAAAACUGGAAAAAAAAUCACAAAUAUGUAGAGAUUAAAUAACAUGCUCCUGAACAAUCAACGUGUCCAUGAAGAAAUGAAAGGAGAAAUCAAAAACACCUUGAGACAAAUGAAAAUGGAAAUACAACAUACCAAAAUCUAUGGGAUAUAGAAAAAGCAGUUCUAAGAGGGAAGUUCAUAGCGAUACAAGUCUACCUCAAGAAAAAAGAAAAAUCUCAAAUAAGCAAUCUAACUUUACACCUAAAGAAACUGAAAAAGAAGAACAAAUGAAACCCAAAGUUAGUAGAAGGAAGGAACUAAUAAAGUUCAGGGCAGAAAAAAAUGAAAUGGAAACUCAAAAGACAGUGGAAAAGAUCAACAUAAUUAAGUGUUGGUUCUUUGAAAAGAUAAACAAAACUGACAAACCUUUAGCUAGACUCACUAAAAAAAAGUGAAAGGGCUCAAAUAAAUAAAAUCAGAAAUGUAAGAGGAGAAGUUACAACUGAUACCACAAAAAUAUAGAGGAUCACAGGGCGCCUGGGUGGUAUAGUCAGUUAAGCGUCUGACUCUUGGUUUUGGCUCAGGUAAUGACCUCAGGGUUGUGAGACUGAGCCCCACAUGGUGCUCCACACCCAGUGUGGAGUCUGCUGGAGAUUCUCUGCCCCUCCCCCUCUGCCCCUCCCACCUGUGCACACUCUAUCUCUCUAAAAUAAAUGAAUAAAUCUUUAAAAUUUAUAUAUAAAGGAUCAUAAGAGACUAUUGUGAACAAUUAUAUGCCAACAAAUUGGACAACCAAGAAAAAACAGAUAAACUUCUAGAAAUAUAAAAUCUUCCAAGACUGGAUCAUAAAGAAACAGAAAAUCCAAAAAGACUGAUUACUAGUAUGGAGAUUGAAUCAGUAAUCUAAAACCUCCAAAAAAACAAAAGUCUAGGACCAGACAGUUUCACUGGUGAAUUCCACCAAACAUUCAAAGAAGAUUUAAUACUUAUCUUUCUCAAACUCUUGCAAAAAAUUGUAGAGUAAGAAAUGCUUUCAAACUUAUUUUUAGGAGAAGAAGGAGAGGAGGGAGAAGGAGAGGGAGGAGGAAGAGGAUGGAGGAGAAGGAGAAGAGAAGGGAAGGGAAGAAGAAAGGAAGGAAGGAAGGGGAGAAAGAGAAAGAAAGGAAGGAAGGAAGGAAGGAAGGAAGGAAGGAAGGAAGGAAAGAAGAAAGAAAGAACAGAAGAAAAUUAAUUACAGGCUAAUCUGAUGGACACAGGUGCAAAAAUCCCUGACAAAUUCAGCAAUACAUUAAAAGGAUCAUAAAUCAUGAUCGAAUGAGAUCUAUCCUAGGGAUGCAAAGAUGAUUCAACAUCCACAAAUCAACCAAUGCAAUACACCACAUUAACAAAAUGAAGGAUAAAAGUCAUAUGAUUAUCUCAGUAGAUACAGAAAAAGCAUUUGACAAAAUUCAACAACCAUUUAUAACAAAAAUUCUCAAAGUGUGUAUAGAGGGAAUGUACCUCAACAUAACAAAGACCAUAUAUGACAAGCCCACAGUUAACAUCAUACUCAAUGGUGAAAAGCUGAAAGCUUUCCCUCUAAGAUCAGGAACAAGGCAAAGAUGCCCACUCUCACCACUUUUAUUCAACACAGUAUUGGAAAUCCUAGACAAAGCAAUUAGACAAGAAAAAAGAAGUAAGACAUCCAACUUGGAAAGGAAGAAGUAAAACCAUCACUACUUGUGGAUAAUAUGUUUUAUAUAUAGAAAACCCUAAGUACUCCACCAAAAAACUGCUAAAAUAAACAAAUCCAGUGAAGUUGUAGGAUACAAAAUCAAUGUACAAAAAUCAGUUGCCUUUCUAUACAUUAUCUAUUAUUAGCGAAAUUAAGACAAUGACCGUAUUUACAUUUGCAUCAAAAAGAAUAAAAUAUCUAGGAAUAAAUUUAACCCAGGAGGUGAAAAACUUGUACACUGAAAAUUAUAAGUCACUGAAGGAGACACCAAUAAAUAGAUAUUCUGUGCUCAUGGAUUGGAAGAAUUAAUAUUCCUAAAAUGUCCAUAUUACCCAAAGCAAUCUAUAGAUUCAAGGCAAUCCCUAUUAAAAUUCCAAUGGCAUUUUUUACAGAAAUAGGACAAAUAAUUCUAAAAUUUGUGUGGAACCCCAAAGACCCCAAAUAACCAAAGCAAUCUUGAGAAAGAACAAAGCUGGAGGCAUCACACUCCCUGAUUUCAAACUAUAUUACACAG
Mirounga angustirostris (Northern elephant seal) is the source of this 7867-nucleotide long non-coding RNA. RefSeq lists it as uncharacterized. Lineage: Eukaryota; Metazoa; Chordata; Mammalia; Carnivora; Phocidae. The record is from RefSeq and is a predicted model, not a curated record. The transcript has 4 exons.